Molecule: ribosomal RNA, 538 nt
Filed under: uncultured bacterium
Lineage: Bacteria
Description: bacterial SSU rRNA
Rfam family: Bacterial small subunit ribosomal RNA
Source: RNAcentral
UUGCGCAUGGGCGAAAGCCUGNGCAGCAACGCCGCGUGAGGGAUGAAGGCCUUCGGGUUGUAAACCUCUUUCGAGCAGGGACGAUAAUGACGGUACCUGCAGAAGAAGCUCCGGCCAACUACGUGCCAGCAGCCGCGGUAAUACGUAGGGAGCGAGCGUUGUCCGGAUUCAUUGGGCGUAAAGAGCUCGUAGGCGGCUUGAUAAGUCGGAUGUGAAACCUCCAGGCUCAACCUGGAGUCGCCAUCCGAUACUGUCAUGGCUAGAGUCCGGUAGGGGCCCACGGAACUCCUGGUGUAGCGGUGAAAUGCGCAGGUAUCAGGAAGAACACCGGUGGCGAAGGCGGUGGGCUGGGCCGGCACUGACGCUGAGGAGCGAAAGCGUGGGGAGCGAACAGGAUUAGAUACCCUGGUAGUCCACGCCGUAAACGUUGGGCACUAGGUGUGGGACCUUGUCAACGGGUUCCGUGCCGUAGCUAACGCAUUAAGUGCCCCGCCUGGGGAGUACGGCCGCAAGGCUAAAACUCAAAAAAAUUGACGGA